UACGUAGGGGGCAAGCGUUGUCCGGAAUCAUUGGGCGUAAAGAGCGUGUAGGCGGACUUAAAGGUCUGGUGUGAAAGCCCGGGGCUCAACCCCGGAGGGUCACUGGAAACCAUAAGUCUUGAAUCUGGAAGAGGAGAGUGGAAUUCCUGGUGUAGCGGUGGAAUGCGCAGAUAUCAGGAGGAACACCAAUGGCGAAGGCAGCUCUCUGGUACAUGAUUGACGCUGAGACGCGAAAGCGUGGGGGAGCGAACAGG
RNAcentral lists this ribosomal RNA (254 nucleotides) under uncultured bacterium. RNAcentral describes it as "partial 16S ribosomal RNA". It matches the Rfam family "Bacterial small subunit ribosomal RNA", at positions 524 to 776 of the family's 1533-position model. The record is from RNAcentral.